UUUCCUUUAGCUUAAAUUAAAAGCGUUAGUUUGAAGCACUGAAGUUAACAUUUUGUUAGGGAGGC
Molecule: transfer RNA, 65 nt
Filed under: Rhodobothrium cf. paucitesticulare DJM-2021
Lineage: Eukaryota; Metazoa; Platyhelminthes; Cestoda; Rhinebothriidea; Rhinebothriidae
Description: tRNA-Phe
Source: RNAcentral